GAUGAACGCUGGCGGCGUGCCUAAUACAUGCAAGUCGAACGAAGUCUUCGGACUUAGUGGCGAACGGGUGAGUAACACGUUGGUACCUACCCCGAAGUGGGGAAUAACUGCCCGAAAGGGUGGCUAAUACCGCAUAAUACCGCAAGGUUAAAGCAGUAAUGCGCUUCGGGAGGGGCCUGCGUCCCAUUAGCUAGUUGGUAGGGUAAUGGCCUACCAAGGCGACGAUGGGUAGCUGGAUCGAGAGGUUGACCAGCCACACUGGGACUGAGAUACGGCCCAGACUCCUACGGGAGGCAGCAGUAAGGAAUCUUCCACAAUGGACGAAAGUCUGAUGGAGCAACGCCGCGUGCAGGAUGACGGCCUUCGGGUUGUAAACUGCUUUUAUACGGGAAGAUUAUGACGGUACCGUAUGAAUAAGGACCGGCUAACUACGUGCCAGCCGCCGCGGUAA
This 451-nucleotide ribosomal RNA is filed under the name uncultured bacterium. Its description in RNAcentral is "partial 16S ribosomal RNA". It matches the Rfam family "Bacterial small subunit ribosomal RNA", at positions 28 to 523 of the family's 1533-position model. The record is from RNAcentral.